This 253-nucleotide ribosomal RNA is filed under the name uncultured bacterium. RNAcentral's name for it is "partial 16S ribosomal RNA". It matches the Rfam family "Bacterial small subunit ribosomal RNA", at positions 524 to 776 of the family's 1533-position model. The record is from RNAcentral.
GACGUAGGAUCCGAGCGUUGUCCGGAGUUACUGGGCGUAAAGCGCGCGCAGGCGGACACGCGCAUCGGCGGUGAAAGCCCCCCGCUCAACGGGGGAGGGUCCGUCGAGAUGGCGUGUCUGGAGGCAGGGAGAGGCCAGUGGAAUUCCCAGUGUAGCGGUGAAAUGCGUAGAUAUUGGGAGGAACACCGGUGGCGAAGGCGGCCCCCUGGGCUGGUACUGACGCUGAUGCGCGAAAGCGUGGGUAGCAAACGGG